Molecule: long non-coding RNA, 6306 nt
Filed under: Sus scrofa (pig)
Lineage: Eukaryota; Metazoa; Chordata; Mammalia; Artiodactyla; Suidae
Description: lncRNA (ENSSSCG00060039231.1)
Source: RNAcentral
UUUUUUUUUUUUUUUGUCUUUUUGCCUUUUCUAGGCCUGCACCUGCAGCAUAUGGAGGUUCCCAGGCUAGGGGUAUGGCCCGAAACCGCCCCCCUCCCCAAAAAAAGAAGCUGGUCUUUCCAAGGGUGCGUGGGGUCCUGCUGGGGUUGGGGGCAGCCAGAUGCUACUCUGAAGGCUCCCCAGGGCACCACACACACGCAUGCACAGACCCACGCAAUGCACACCCACCUGCACUUGUGUAUUUAUUACUCCAGUCAGAUGGUACACACUGACAUACGUGGACACACAAUGCAAAUACACACUGGUGUGUAUGCACACAGCAGUGCACACCACCACCAGGUAGGCAUGAAAGCACACACUCACACACACACACGGACGUUACACACCAUGUGAGGAUGCAUACAUGCCACAAUCGCACGUAUGUCCACACGUGCACACAGCCCCACCCACCUAAACAGGCACCCACAUCCCCACACACCUCCACACACAUUCCCCGGGGCAGGAUCAAGUGACCAGAAAGGGACAACUGUCCACUGGCCCAGGAACCCGGGACUGGCUGUGAGCUCUGGGUUCCCCCGUGAGCUCUGCUGCCACAGUUUCAGGAAGCUCAGCCUCUCAAUUCGAGCCUAUUGCUACAGCCGGGGACGCUGAGGUGUGUCCCCAUUUUUACAGCUGGGAUGCUGAGGUGCCAGGUCCCGCAGCGAUCUGCCUGAGAGGACAGGAUCCGGUAUUUGUUUAGUGGCUUUAGACCCGGAAGCCUUGACGGGCGGCGCCUUGAUCCAGUCUUGCCACGGCCGCAGGUGGCAGACGUGGCCCCACGCUACAGACACAACAGAAGGUACAAUGAUGUUUGCAAAGACAGACGGGACGGGACGCCGUGGAGUGGAGGCUAUUAUCAGGCCCAUUUUGCAGAAGUGAACACCAAGGGGUGGAGAGGUGACACCACUUGGCUGGGUCUGAACCCCAGAGACUUUGGGAUGCAGAGCGAGAGGCGUCUACUGGGCAGCAGAGAAUCACCUGGAAGCCCUGAAAAUGCACCACGGCCUGGAACCCCUACCCUGAGAGUCCGACUUAAGUGGUCUGUGCGGUGGAGGGUGGGCCUCAGGACUUUGGAAAAGCAGGGCCAAGGGCAGGCCCCAGCUUUUCGGCGCUCAUCUGCUUCUGGAAUCCUCUUGCCUCCCUCUGCGAGGGCUCCCAGGGGAGACGCCUGAGUUGAAAUCAGACUGCAGGUGGGGCCCCCUUCCCACGUCAUUUCAAUCCCUGAGGCCAGCAGGUCCCCAGAGAAGCAGUUGGGAAGACGACCAAGGUGUGAGGCUGGCGGGUGUCCUUGAGCGGGGCCAGAUGGCCGCUCCCACGGCAGGUGGUGCCGCCCGCGCUGCCAGAAGCUCCAGGGAGGCCCGGGGCUGAGUCAGAAACCUAGGCUCCCUGCCCGGAAGGUGACUUUGGAACCUUGUGAAUUCGGAUGUGACAGCUCCAGAAGCUGGGAGGAGCCCUCGGCUACAGAAUCAGCCCCUCCCCAAGCCUUGGUCACCAGGGACCAUGUGCUCCGGGGCAGGGACAGCGCAAGGGGACCCCAAUGCCAUGCACCUGCCUGCGGUGGGGGAGGGGGAGCACAGUACCUGCACCAGGGGUGGGCACAGAGGGGUGUGUGUGUCUAUGAAGGCGGAGGGCCAGGGGUCUCCAGCCAGUGGGCUGUGCUGUGUGACCCUGGAUCCAGCACUCUGCCUCUCUCAGCUGUGUUUACGUCCCCAUUUGGGAAAAGGGGAAAGAAACCUCCCUUUGCCGGCAGCUGAGGUCUUUGAACCCCGGCCCUGUGAGAGCGAAACCAAGCCUCACUUCCUCCCUGCCUCCCGGGCCAGACUUGGGGGAUCAGGACCGAGGGGGGGCCCAGGGAGUGUUGUCGUCUCCCCCUUUGCACCCCCUGAUUCCCCCGUCAUCGCUGGGGGGGGGGCUUUCUCCCAUCUUUUGAUUUCCUGUUCCCCACGCCCUCUCUUUCUCUGUCUCCCUUGCCAGAUGGUCCCAAGCCUGGUGGGGUCACAGGCUCUCCGGAGAGGGCACUCCCCGCCCCAGACAGGAAACAGCAGCCUCCUGGGGGGCCCCCAGCGCUAAGGUCUUCCAGAUGCGGCCUCUUCUGACGCACCCCUGGUUCGCGUCCCGGCAGGACCGUGACUUCCAAGGGGUCCCCGUGCUGCUCCGGCGGCCCCUGGACGUUCAGUCUGACCCGGGGAGACCUUGGACGUGGCCCGGAUGCCCUGGAGCGCGCAGAGCCGCCCCCUUUCCAAGUUGGGGAAAGGAAGGCGCCGUGGGGCCUGGGCCAACUGAUUUCCUGCGCUGGCGCCUGGCGGUGGGCAGCCCGCCUUUGGCAGCGGCUUGGCAUCAGAAGGCGCUGGCAGACCGCAGAAGUGGAGGGGGCCGGCGGGGCGGCUCCCACACGUCCAGUUCGCCCAGGCACCCAGGACAGCGGCGCCUCCACCUCGUCCUAAAAGUGGGUGCCGGGGGUGGGGAGUGUUUUGCAUCCUGGUUGCUAUGCAUCGGCUCUAUCCUGGAGUUCAAGCCGGGACCUGUCUCCCUCCGUGAGAGCCUGUGGCCGAAUAUUUCCUGUCUCUUAAAACAAGGUUCACCCGCCCUCUCCCAAGUCGCUGGCCCCCCACUGCCCGAGCUGGCACGGAAGAGGCCCCGCUCUAGCCACCCCUCCCUCAUCGCCCAGGGGCCUGGGGGAGGCUGGCAGCUGCAGGGAGGUUUCCCUCCCACCUUCUUCUCAUGGGAUCUGAGUGGGUUUUGCGACAAGGAGUGAGCCAGCAGGGCAGCCUGAGGCUGGGAACAGGCCGCCUGGGUCUGCAAGGAUGCUCUCCACGGCCCUAUUAACAUCUGAGAGAACAUUCUAGAGGAAGGAAGCUGGGGGGUGGGGUGGGGAACCCUGAGCACCUCGGAGCUCAGCAGACACACGGAGCCUGGGGACCGCGGGCCAGCCCUUGGGGCCCCAGGCCGGGGGUCUCAAACGCCGUCUGGGGUGGCCCCCACCCCCCCAUCCCGUAGGACACCGCAGCCUCCCGUCUGCGGAGCCUGGGCGGUUGCGGUUUUCCUCUCUCGCCUGAUCUAUUCUGGGCUGGCUCUGCUCGGGGCGGGCUGGGAAAGGGCUGAGGCCAGGGCAGGGCGGCAGCGGGGCCGCAGGAAGCCGGGAGGAGGCUGGCAGGCUGACUGAGGGGCUGCUCCGGGCAGGACCCUGGGGAGCGUGGGCAGGGAGGGCGCGCAUAUGAAGGGAGAGUCCAAAGAUGGAAAGCCCUGGGAGCCCUGGCGGGAAAGGAGGCUCCGAGCCACUGCGGUGAGGCCUGGGCACGGUGCCCGACCCGAAGCCAGAGCCACAGAGCUGGGCACCGGCCACUGGGAGGUGUCUCUGGCCGGCGUACGUGCCAGCUUGUGUCCACCACAGCCAGGCCUGCAGGCUCCGAGACGCCCCUCUGCCUUCCGGCUCCACCCCUGGACAGACCCGGCCCCCACGCUGGGCUCAGUCUGUCCGCCUGUGAAAUGGGGCGACUCGUGGCACUGCCCCUCUCAUGCGGAAAAGCCUGGCACACAGUAGGGAUACAAUAAUCUCUUCCCACUGUAACACACUCCCUGGUCGACACAGCCCUGAGGCCCUGGCUGCCCCAGGCUUAGAUUUUUCCGGGCCUGGUCAUUCCUUCCUCAGACCAGGGCUCUAGGGCAAGGCCCAUGCUCACAGGCUGGCAUGCAGGCUGCCCCAGUUUGCCCUCUCGCCUGCUCAGCUCCCACCUCGCCAUGGCCCGACCUCCAGCCUCGCUUUUCAAGAUGCCCAAGCAUCCACCCUCCCUACAAGCUCGCCCUCCCCCACUGAGCAUGCCCAGCUGCCUCCCUCCACCGUCUAAUUCUCACACACGGCAUUCCCAGAUUUAAGCACCACCUCCUCCAGGAAGACUUCCAGGGAUGCAUCCAGCCUGUGCCUUAUUGAGUUUCCAGAGCACUCAGCCCGGGCCCACGCGGAGCCUGGCAACCAUGUGCCAGCGGAGCUGGGGCUGGCACAGAGGGCAUUCACGGUGCCCGGGGAAGAUGUGCUUGUCAGAGGCAGUGGGAAAUGGGAUGGCACGGGUCCAUUUUGCUGCAGGAAAAGAGAUGCACUGGGUGUGAGGAGGGGGAGGAAGGGGGGCUUCCACUCCAAGGGAGACAGAUGAGCUAACACCGCCUCCCCCCGGGACCUGCAGAGAAGCCCACACCUGGCUCCCGGCAGGGCCUGGAAGCUUGGCGUGAACCUGCCGAGGCCAGGCGAGGCCAGGCGGGGAGCUGCAGGGGGGAGGGAGGGAGAGCCCUUCAGGACAAGACCAGCCGCCCUGCACGGAACAGGCUCGGGUGACUCGCUGACCCCAGGACCCACCAAAUCCUCGGCUUGAAGGUGAAGCUCAAAGCUGAACGGGCCUCCUCGUGUUAACAUGAGAAGAGCAAGUCCCCAACCUCCACGAUUAUUUGAGAAUUCUCCCUCCACACCCAUCAAAUUAGAGCAGUGUCCAACGGGGCCGCGGGAGCGCAGACAGGUAUUAAAUUUUAAUGAGCGCUAAUGGCUUUGCCCUACUUUGUGAGGGCCGGGCCUACAUUUAUGAACGUUUAAUUUCUCGGGCCCUGACCUCUUUCCUUCCCUCUCCUGCCGUCCCCUCGCCGGCUGCUCCCCUCACUGAUGCUUGAGGGCGGGGCGGGAACCUUCCUGGACCACCUGACAGUCGGCUCCCUGAGCCUGAUGGCCAAACGCUCACUCUCCUGGGGAGAAAAGCAGAAGCAACAGUCACAGCCCCAGAGCCUGCAGCCGGCAGGACCAGACUGUCCACGUGACGCUAGGAACAUGGCAUUUCAUGGAUUCCCUGACUCCCAGGUAGAUGCGGGAGCGCCCCCCCCGGGGGGGAGGGGGCACAUCCCACUGAUGCCUGCAGGCCAGCAGCCCACCUCCGUGGGACCACAGAUCCCCGGAGCCUGACUCAGGACCGCAGGGCAGGGUGGCGGCCGAGCCCCUGCUGCCCCCUGGCGGCCAUGAGGCCCACCUGCCGGGGGCGGGGGAGGUCUGACCACAAACCCCAGGCUCAGGCCCGGCCACCAGGCAGGCCAGGACAACGGCUUGGUUCUGGACCGGAAGUCCUAGAGAGAUCGGAGCCCUGGAGUCGGCUGCGAUCUCAUGGGUUUGGGUCCCACGGCCCCUGUGGGGCUGCACGUCCCAGCAGCCUGAAGGAAGACUGUUCUGGAAGGUUCCAGGCCUGCCUCAGGCAGUGAUGGGUGGCCCUCUGAGCCUGAGGAGUCAUCUUUGCUCAGUGAAGUUAACAAAACAUCCCCCCAGCUGCCUCAUAGCCCUUCAGCUUCAAGGUGGGGUCAAUGCCAGUCGCACUUAUUAAGCGCCUACUGUGUGCUGGGUGCUGUGGGACUGAGCCGUAACGACAUCAGGCGUGACUGCUGGCAGGAGCCAAGGGGUGACAACAUCACAGACUUCAGGUCAUUCGGCCUGGAGCCCCCAGAGCAUGCAGACCACCGUCUCUCCUCUGUCCCGCCAGAGGCCCCCAGAUGUGGCCCAAGCUCACACGUGCCCUCGAGAGCCUUCCACCCGCGUCUCCGGGAGGGAGCCGCAGCGCCUCCGCUGGGCCUGCUGGAAGCAAUGCCUGCAGGGCCCGGGGCUGGCGGCCUGCAGCGGCUCCCUGGACCUUCCCUCUGAUCCUCCUGCCUCUGACAAGCCUUCAGUCCUGCCAGAAGGAGGAGGCCAAGCCCAAAGAGGCAGCUCGAGGGGAGCAGAGAGAAGCCCAGGCUCUGGCCCGGCUGUGCGGGAAUUCGGGUGCUCAGAGAGACACACGCUCCACUGCCUCUGCGUGGACAGGGGGGCGUCAGUGGGAGGGUCUCCGACCUGGCUGGCGUCAGCCACCAAGGCCCCAGUCACCCUUCAGUAAGGAGGCAACCACCUGGCUUCCAGUCCCUUCCACCACCUCCUGGCUGUGCUCUCUAGCUGGGCCUCAGUUUUCCCGUCUAUGAACUGGGGACAGUGAGAGAACUUACACCCUCACAAGAAUGCCCAGUAAGAUACAGUUGAAAUUUAAAUUUCACAUAAAUAAGGAAUAAAUGGGUUUUUGUUUUGUUUUGUCUAUUUAGGGCCACACCUGUGGCAUACGGAGGUUACAGGCUAGGGGUCCAAUUGGAGCUGUAGUCACUGGCCAACACCACAGCCACAGCAACACCAGAUCCGAGCCCUGUCUGCGACCUACACCACAGCUCAUGGCAAUGCCAGAUCCUUAACCCACUGAGCGAGGUCAGGGAUCGAACCUGCGU